Molecule: ribosomal RNA, 1466 nt
Filed under: Aeromonas veronii
Lineage: Bacteria; Pseudomonadati; Pseudomonadota; Gammaproteobacteria; Aeromonadales; Aeromonadaceae
Description: partial 23S ribosomal RNA
Rfam family: Bacterial large subunit ribosomal RNA
Source: RNAcentral
GGUUAAGUGACUAAGCGUACAUGGUGGAUGCCUUGGCAGUCAGAGGCGAUGAAGGACGUACUAACCUGCGAUAAGCUGUGAGAAGUCGGUAAGAGACGCUAUUACUCACAGAUUUCCGAAUGGGGAAACCCACCCGAGAUAACUCGGGUAUCUGUUACUGAAUACAUAGGUAACAGAGGCGAACCGGGAGAACUGAAACAUCUAAGUACCCCGAGGAAAAGAAAUCAACCGAGAUUCCCUCAGUAGCGGCGAGCGAACGGGGAUUAGCCCUUAAGCAUCUUGGAAGUUAGUGGAACGGUCCUGGAAAGGCCGGCGAUACAGGGUGAUAGCCCCGUACACGAAAACAACCUUGAUGUGAAAUCGAGUAGGGCGGGACACGUGACAUCCUGUCUGAAUAUGGGGGGACCAUCCUCCAAGGCUAAAUACUCCUGACUGACCGAUAGUGAACCAGUACCGUGAGGGAAAGGCGAAAAGAACCCCUGUGAGGGGAGUGAAAUAGAACCUGAAACCGUGUACGUACAAGCAGUGGGAGCCCUUCGGGGUGACUGCGUACCUUUUGUAUAAUGGGUCAGCGACUUACAUUUUGUAGCGAGGUUAACCGUAUAGGGGAGCCGUAGGGAAACCGAGUCUUAACUGGGCGUCUAGUUGCAAGGUGUAGACCCGAAACCGGGUGAUCUAGCCAUGGGCAGGUUGAAGGUUGAGUAACAUCAACUGGAGGACCGAACCCACUAACGUUGCAAAGUUAGGGGAUGACCUGUGGCUGGGGGUGAAAGGCCAAUCAAACUCGGAGAUAGCUGGUUCUCCCCGAAAGCUAUUUAGGUAGCGCCUCGGACGAAUACUACUGGGGGUAGAGCACUGUUUGGGCUAGGGGGUCAUCCCGACUUACCAACCCCAUGCAAACUCCGAAUACCAGUAAGUAAUAUCCGGGAGACACACGGCGGGUGCUAACGUCCGUCGUGAAGAGGGAAACAACCCAGACCGCCGGCUAAGGUCCCAAAGUUCUGGUUAAGUGGGAAACGAUGUGGGAAGGCUCAGACAGCUAGGAUGUUGGCUUAGAAGCAGCCAUCAUUUAAAGAAAGCGUAAUAGCUCACUAGUCGAGUCGGCCUGCGCGGAAGAUGUAACGGGGCUCAAACCAGGCACCGAAGCCGCGGAUUCACACUUAUGUGUGAGUGGUAGGGGAGCGUUCUGUAAGUCUGCGAAGGUGUAUCGAGAGGUAUGCUGGAGAUAUCAGAAGUGCGAAUGCUGACGUAAGUAACGAUAAAGGGGGUGAAAAGCCUCCUCGCCGGAAGACCAAGGGUUCCUGUCCAACGUUAAUCGGGGCAGGGUGAGUCGACCCCUAAGGCGAGGCCGAAAGGCGUAGUCGAUGGGAAGCAGGUUAAUAUUCCUGCACGACUUGUAAUUGCGAUGGGGGGACGGAGAAGGCUAGGUGGGCCAGGCGACGGUUGUCCUGGUGAAAGUGCGUAGG